This 253-nucleotide ribosomal RNA is filed under the name uncultured bacterium. RNAcentral describes it as "partial 16S ribosomal RNA". It matches the Rfam family "Bacterial small subunit ribosomal RNA", at positions 524 to 776 of the family's 1533-position model. The record is from RNAcentral.
UACGUAGGGUGCUAGCGUUGUCCGGAAUUAUUGGGCGUAAAGAGCUCGUAGGCGGCUUGUCGCGUCGGAUGUGAAAGCCCGGGGCUUAACCCCGGGUCUGCAUUCGAUACGGGCAGGCUAGAGUUCGGUAGGGGAGAUCGGAAUUCCUGGUGUAGCGGUGAAAUGCGCAGAUAUCAGGAGGAACACCGGUGGCGAAGGCGGAUCUCUGGGCCGAUACUGACGCUGAGGAGCGAAAGCGUGGGGAGCGAACAGG